CGCCUCCCUCCGCCGCCACUCAGACUCCGUACGGGAGGCGAGCAGUAGGAAUAUUGCUCAAGUACGGGGGAAACCCGUAGAAGCAGCAACGCCGCGUGAGUGAUGAAGGCCUUCGGUCGUAAGCUCUGUUGUACGGGAAGAACGUCGUUAUGGCUAACAUCCAUAGCGAGUGACGGUACCGUAUAAGAAAGGACCGGCUAACUUCGUGCCAGCAGCCGCGGUAAUAC
RNAcentral lists this ribosomal RNA (227 nucleotides) under uncultured bacterium. RNAcentral's name for it is "partial 16S ribosomal RNA". It matches the Rfam family "Bacterial small subunit ribosomal RNA", at positions 306 to 526 of the family's 1533-position model. The record is from RNAcentral.